Molecule: ribosomal RNA, 723 nt
Filed under: uncultured bacterium
Lineage: Bacteria
Description: bacterial SSU rRNA
Rfam family: Bacterial small subunit ribosomal RNA
Source: RNAcentral
GGGUGAGUAACACGUGGGUUACCUACCCUUAAGUUGGGGAUAACAGUUGGAAACGAUUGCUAAUACCGAAUGUGCUCUACGGAGUAAAGGAGCCCUUAAAGCUUCGCUUAAGGAUGGGCCUGCGGUGCAUUAGCUUGUUGGUGGGGUAAUGGCCUACCAAGGCAACGAUGCAUAGCCGAACUGAGAGGUUGAUCGGCCACACUGGGACUGAGACACGGCCCAGACUCCUACGGGAGACAGCAGUUAGGAAUAUUCGUCAAUGGGGGAAACCCUGAACGAGCAAUGCCGCGUGAGUGAUGAAGGCCCUUCGGGUUGUAAAACUCUGUUGUUUGGAAAGAACUGUAAGAAUAGGAAAUGAUUCUUACUUGACGGUACCAUUCAAGAAAGCCACGGCUAACUACGUGCCAGCAGCCGCGGUAAUACGUAGGUGGCGAGCGUUAUCCGGAUUUAUUGGGCGUAAAGCGUGCGCAGGCGGUUUGUUAAGUCUAAAAUCAAAGCCCGAAGCUUAACUUCGGUUCGUUUUAGAAACUGGCAGGCUUGAGUAUGGUAGAGGCAAACGGAAUUUCUAGUGUAGCGGUAAAAUGCGUAGAUAUUAGAAGGAACACCAGUGGCGAAGGCGGUUUGCUGGGCCAUUACUGACGCUCAUGCACGAAAGCGUGGGGAGCAAAUAGGAUUAGAUACCCUAGUAGUCCACGCCGUAAACGAUGAGUACUAAGUGUCGGG